Molecule: ribosomal RNA, 403 nt
Filed under: uncultured bacterium
Lineage: Bacteria
Description: partial 16S ribosomal RNA
Rfam family: Bacterial small subunit ribosomal RNA
Source: RNAcentral
AUUGAACGCUGGCGGCAGGCCUAACACAUGCAAGUCGAGCGAGCGGCGGACGGGUGAGUAAUGUAUGGGGACUGCCCGAUAGAGGGGGGUAACUACUGGAAACGGUGGCUAAUACCGCAUACUAUCGGAUAACCCAUAUAGGAUUAGCUAGUAGGUAAGGGAAUGGCUUACGUAGGGCACGAUCCCUAGCUGGGCUGAGAGGAUGAUCAGCCACAUUGGAACUGAGCUACGGCCCAGCCUCCUCCGGAGGCAGCAGUGGGGAAUAUUGCACAAGGUGCGCAAGCCUGAUGCAGCCAGGCCGCGUGUAUGAAGAAGGCCCUAGGGUUGUAAAGUACUUUCAGUCGGGAGGCGUUACCGACAGAAGAAGCACCGGCUAACUCCGUGCCAGCCGCCGCGGUAAUUC